Molecule: long non-coding RNA, 1011 nt
Organism: Bombus impatiens (common eastern bumble bee)
Lineage: Eukaryota; Metazoa; Arthropoda; Insecta; Hymenoptera; Apidae
Exons: 2
Source: RefSeq, a predicted model, not a curated record
ACCCAAAAAGAAAAGAACCCAGCAAAAAGGAGGUCGUUGAUGAAGAAAAAAGCAAUAUAAAAAAUUGUACUAAAAAUGAAAUUCCAAUAAUAAAAGAAGACGAUGAAAGAGGUAUAACGAGAGGACAAUAAAAAAUUUCAAUGAUUAAGAGAAGACGCGCUAAAAAGAAUUCUGGUAACAAAAAGAUAUAGAGAAGGGGGCGUGGUAAAAAGAAACCAUUGCGACAAUUAAUAAAAAUUAAAAGACACCAAAAAAUAAAUAGCAAUUUAAAAAAACAGUGACAAACUCAAAAUUUCAAUAAGUAAAAAACACCAAAGAAAGAAUUUCCACAAAAAGAUAUCAGUGAGUAAGAUAUCAAUGGCUCUUACGAAGCGGUCUCUCCACUGAUUUUGUUCUACUCUGUGUACGACUGCUGGACGAAUAAGAUAAAGGAGCAAGGUAAGAGGGGUAAGUGGUUGGAGUAGUGUGAAACGAGUCUCACAGUCAAAAAUAAAAGUUUAUUAAUUCCAUGCCGAUUUUGAAGAUAAUUAAAAGUUCAGAAUGUCUUCGCGACGCUCUUUUGAUCCGGACAGUUACUUAGUUGCAAAUAAUAUACCUGACUUCAGCAAAUUUUCCUAUUUCGUAAACCAAUUUAAUUUGCACCCUCCAUGAAAAAAUGUUUCAAUAUGAACAUAAAUAACCUAAGAAACAGUAUAUUGAGUCAAAUAUCAUUACUAAGGUUCUUCAUUUGAUUUCUGACUAAUAAUUCUUAAAAAAGCGUACCCAUGUGAGGUGCUUGGGUAGCACUGAAUGUGUUAAUGUAAUUUAAACAUUGUAAUUGUACUGCUAUGUAGUUUUGUAAAAAUGAGUGAACAUAGCUGUAUGAAAUGUAUGAAAGCUAUUCAGCUGGCUUUUUUGCUCAUCAAACUGUUAUGUACUUAUUACACUUACUGUAAACUGUAAGUAUUAAAGUAGCUGCUUGGUUGUAAAUUUACAGACUAAACAAUAAAAUAACGAAUCUUCUGAAAAGAA